AUUGAACGCUGGCGGCAUGCCUUACACAUGCAAGUCGAACGGUAGCACGGGUGCUUGCACCUGGUGGCGAGUGGCGUACGGGUGAGUAAUACAACGGAACAUGUACUGUAGUGGGGGUUAGCCCGGAGCAAGCCGGAUUAAUACCGCAUACGAACUAUGGAUGAAAGCGGGGGACCUUCGGUGCUCGAGCUAUGGGGUUGGUGGAUGGCUGAUUAGCUAGUUGGUGGGGUAAAGGCCUACCAAGGCGACGAUCAGUAGCUGGUCUGAGAGGACGACCAGACACACUGGGACUGAGACACGGCCCAGACGCCUACGGGAGGCAGCAGUGGGGAAUUUUGGACAAUGGGCGAAAGCCUGAUCCAGCAAUGCCGCGUGUGGGAAGAAGGCCUUCGGGUUGUAAAGCACUUUUGUCCGGAAAGAAAUCGUUGGCUCUAAUACAUUCGGGGGAUGACGGUACCGGAAGAAUAAGCACCGGCUAACUACGUG
This 486-nucleotide ribosomal RNA is filed under the name uncultured bacterium. Its description in RNAcentral is "partial 16S ribosomal RNA". It matches the Rfam family "Bacterial small subunit ribosomal RNA", at positions 30 to 507 of the family's 1533-position model. The record is from RNAcentral.